GAAUAGAUUUUAUAUUGAAUCGUUCAAUUUAAAUCUUAUUUUUCAGAUAUUACAUGUGAUGUAUCAAACCUGAAAGCAUGCUAAUUAGAUCAGAUUUUAAUAUAUGAGAUGUAUGCAAAGCAUGUAUAAGUUAGAUCUGAAAUUAUAUAUGUGAUAUGUAACUUAGAUCUAACUAGUUUUGUAGUUAAAUCAAUAUUUUUGAUUAAGGUGUUCCUCAUGGCCGUCCGGUCAUAAGAACAAAGUAGGGUUUAAGACCCUCUCCUCCCAUUCAAUGGGGU
RNAcentral lists this long non-coding RNA (278 nucleotides) under Elaeis guineensis (African oil palm). RNAcentral's name for it is "long non-coding RNA (EGUI_LNC071779)". Lineage: Eukaryota; Viridiplantae; Streptophyta; Magnoliopsida; Arecales; Arecaceae. The record is from RNAcentral.